AACCAGGAGGUUGGCUUAGAAGCAGCCAUCCUUUAAAGAAAGCGUAAUAGCUCACUGGUCAAGUUGCUUUGCGCCGAAAAUUUACCGGGGCUUAAACCUAAUACCGAAGAUACGAAUGUCUUGUGCUUCGCACAAGGAACUAAACAACUAACAACUGACAACUAACAACAAAAAGUUGUAAAGUCGUGAGUUGUAAAGUUGUAAGUUACUCGUGCGGAGCGCGAGGCGUGGUAGGGGAGCAUUUUAUACGCAUUGAAGUCCUAAUGUGAGUUAGGGUGGAGCGUAUAAAAGAGAGAAUGUUGGCAUAAGUAGCAAAAAUCCAAGUGAAAACCUUGGACACCGAAAACCUAAGGUUUCCUGGGCAACGCAAAUCGACCCAGGGUUAGUCGAUCCUAAGGUGAUCCCUAUACUUAGGGGCAGCCGAUGGAAAAGCAGGCUAAUAUUCCUGCACUACUAAUAAUUUUCGAUGAGGGGACAUAAUCUAGGAGAUUUAGUGUUUUUUGGCUAUAGACAUUGGAGACAAAGUAGGGUGGAUUUCAGGCAAAUCCUGAAUCCAACAAGCUCGAAAGUCUUCAGGAGAGAAAGUCGCAAGGCAGACUCAACUAAGUCAAAUAGAUUAUCAAGAAAAGCCUCUAGAGUUAAAUUAUUAGUAGCCGUACCAUAAACCAACACAGGUAGGUAGGUAGAGAAUACCAAGGUGUACGAGCGAAUCCUCAUCAAGGAACUCGGCAAAAUAGCGUGCGUAACUUUGGGAUAAGCACUCCCGCCUAAAUUUUGCUUUGCAAAACUUGGGCGGGCGCAGCGAAAGAUCCCGGGUGACUGUUUAGCAAAAACACAGGUCCCUGCUCAAAGCGUAAGCUGAUAUAUAGGGACUGAUGCCUGGCCAGUGUCAGAACGUUAAGGUGAGGGGUGAAACCGGUGCUUCGCACAAGUAACUAAACAAUUAACAACAAACAACAAACAACAAACGACAAACGACAAAAAGUUGUAAAGUUGUGAGUUGUAAAGUUGUAAGUUACUCGUGCGGAGCGCGAGGCGUAGCUCUGACCCGAAGCGCUGAUGAACGCCGGCGGUAACUAUAACCGUCCUAAGGUAGCGAAAUUCCUUGUCGUGUAAGUUACGACCUGCACGAAUGGCAUAACAACCUGGGAACUGUCUUAAUGAGGACCUCGGCGAAAUUGCAAGACGAGUGAAGAUGCUCGUUACCCACGGCUGGACGAAAAGACCCCGUGAAGCUUUACUACAACUUGGCAUUGGGUUGAGGUUAAACUUGUUCAGAAUAGGUGGGAGACCGUG
Molecule: ribosomal RNA, 1296 nt
Filed under: Candidatus Micrarchaeota archaeon CG_4_10_14_0_2_um_filter_49_7
Lineage: Archaea; Nanobdellati; Microcaldota
Description: bacterial LSU rRNA
Rfam family: Bacterial large subunit ribosomal RNA
Source: RNAcentral